AUACGUAGGGGACAAGCGUUGUCCGGAAUGACUGGGCGUAAAGGGCGCGUAGGCGGUCUAUUAAGUCUGAUGUGAAAGGUACCGGCUCAACCGGUGAAGUGCAUUGGAAACUGGUAGACUUGAGUAUUGGAGAGGCAAGUGGAAUUCCUAGUGUAGCGGUGAAAUGCGUAGAUAUUAGGAGGAACACCAGUGGCGAAGGCGGCUUGCUGGACAAAUACUGACGCUGAGGUGCGAAAGGGUGGGGAGCGAACAGGAUUAGAUACCCUGGUAGUCCACGCCGUAAACGAUGAAUGCUAGGUGUUGGGGAAACUCAGUGCCGCAGUUAACACAAUAAGCAUUCCGCCUGGGGAGUACGACCGCAAGGUUGAAACUCAAAGGAAUUGACGGGG
RNAcentral lists this ribosomal RNA (389 nucleotides) under uncultured bacterium. Its description in RNAcentral is "partial 16S ribosomal RNA". It matches the Rfam family "Bacterial small subunit ribosomal RNA", at positions 523 to 918 of the family's 1533-position model. The record is from RNAcentral.